UUUUAGCCCGGAUGGAAACGGCAUCCUUUUUAUAAGGCGAUUUUUUUUCGCCUUAUAAAAAGAUAUAGUGUACAGCCGGAAUAGCU
This is a non-coding RNA of Flavobacterium sp. AED, 86 nucleotides long. The record is from Rfam. NCBI's taxonomy places the organism in Bacteria, Pseudomonadati, Bacteroidota, Flavobacteriia, Flavobacteriales, Flavobacteriaceae.